Molecule: ribosomal RNA, 664 nt
Filed under: uncultured archaeon
Lineage: Archaea
Description: bacterial SSU rRNA
Rfam family: Archaeal small subunit ribosomal RNA
Source: RNAcentral
AUCUUCGUGAUUGUGCGGUGUCGAAGCGAAGGUGUUAAGCUCGCCGCCUGGGAAGUAUGGUCGCAAGGCUGAAACUUAAAGGAAUUGGCGGGGGAGCACUACAAGGGGUGCGGCGUGCGGUUUAAUCUAAUUCAACGCAGAGAAACUCACCAGAAGCGACGGCAGGAUGAAGGUCAGUCUGAAGGGCUUACCUAACAAGCCGAGAGGUAGUGCAUGGCCGUCGUCAGCUCGUGCCGUAAGGUGUCCUGUUAAGUCAGGCAACGAGCGAGACCUGCACUUAUAAUUGCUAAUGGCUCUACUAGAGGACCAAGCACAUUAUAAGAACUGCCCUUGAAAAAGGGAGGAAGGUGCAGGCUACGGUAGGUCUGUAUGCUCCGAAUCUUCUGGGCUACACGCGCGCAACAAUGGUACGGACAAUGGGUCACAACUCCGAAAGGAGAAGUUAAUCCUCUAAACCGUAUCUUAGUUCAGAUUGAGGAUUGUAACCCAUCCUCAUGACGCUGGAAUCCCUAGUAAUCGGGUUUUAUCAUAGCCUGGUGAAUAUGUCCCUGCUCCUUGCACACACCGCCCGUCAAACCACCCGAGUAGGGUUUAGAUGAGGUCUCAUUUUUAAUGAGUUCGAAUCUAAGCUCAGCGAGGAGGGUUAAGUCGUAACAAGGUAGCC